This 97-nucleotide non-coding RNA is filed under the name marine eukaryotic metagenome. The record is from RNAcentral.
GUCUGACUCCAAACUGCCAGAUUUUCAAGGAGGGGCGGAACACGCCGCUAACGUUUCUAGUGCUGCACUUGCUGGAGCAAAUAUAAUCUAUGAGUCU